GUCUUCUUUCUCACGCUAAGGAGGGAUCCGGAGCCUAGGUCACGUAUCUGUUCUAAAAAGGUGUUCAAAAAAUGCGAUGACGUCACACUGUCAGAGGUACUGAGUGCUUUACGGCAGUUUCUGAAGCACUUCCCGCAACGAUAAUACCAGCUGUUGGAGAUGGACAUUGAUGCUGUGACAACGGAGAAGUCUUCUUCCUCUGUCCUUUUUCCCUGCCUCUGUUAGUGUUUAGUGUUGUUAAAUAAUUUAUCUUUUUUUAAUUAGGGGUCCAAGCCAACAGGUUGGAUCCCUAUUGUUUUUGUAAGGUUUUUUUUUCCUAUUAUUAGGGGUCCAAGCCAACAGGUUGGAUCCCUAUUGUUUUUGUAAGGAUUUUUAUUAUUAGGGGUCCAAGCCAACAGGUUGGAUCCCUAUUGUUUUUGUAAGGUUUUUUUUUCCUAUUAUUAUUAUUUUUCCCCCCUAGAAGUGGGUCCACAGCCCAAACCGUAAAUGGUGCCGACACGCCAAUUGCAUGACUAGA
RNAcentral lists this long non-coding RNA (517 nucleotides) under Gadus morhua (Atlantic cod). Its description in RNAcentral is "lncRNA (ENSGMOG00000022555.1)". Lineage: Eukaryota; Metazoa; Chordata; Actinopteri; Gadiformes; Gadidae. The record is from RNAcentral.